Molecule: ribosomal RNA, 117 nt
Filed under: Ocynectes modestus
Lineage: Eukaryota; Metazoa; Chordata; Actinopteri; Perciformes; Cottidae
Description: partial 16S rRNA
Source: RNAcentral
CACCCAACAGCUAGCCCACUCAGACAACCUCAACAAACCCCCAUUAAUAACCCCUAAGUACCCCAGUAUUUAAACUAAACAAACCAUUUUCCCCCCUUAGUAUAGGCGAUAGAAAAG